AUGAUUGUUAAUAACGGAAAACAUCAAACGACAAUGAAAGUGAGCCUGCUGAUAAAGCACGGUGGCUUCUGUGAAAUCAGAAAACGGAUUCUCUCCAAAGCACAACAGGACAACUUGAGUCAGGAGGAGCUGGCAGAUGCCUCCGGAAUGAAGCCCACGUGUCGUCCGAGUGGGGAUUCGAGGCAGCAGCUGGGAUCCAGGCUGGGGGCCCGAGCAUGUUGGCUGGUGGGUCUGGGCAGCUCUGUUGUCAGUCCUUUGCCCAGCCUGGGCCCAGAUAUCUACUUACAAAUGCUGGACCAUUGUUUCUCUCUACUGGAUAAGAAGUUAAUGUUUUUCUCUGAAGUAUAA
Molecule: long non-coding RNA, 348 nt
Filed under: Bos grunniens (domestic yak)
Lineage: Eukaryota; Metazoa; Chordata; Mammalia; Artiodactyla; Bovidae
Description: lncRNA (ENSBGRG00000022256.1)
Source: RNAcentral